GACGCUAGGCCGGCACUGCCUAGGUGGGCCGGGCGGUGCGAGGGUCGCCUUUCAGCCUUUACCUCUACCCACUGAAAUGGAGUAGGUCGGUGAGCGCCGAUCUGCUGGAGAAUCUCAUUAUCCCAUCGGCGCUCUGCCUGCUCCUGGCCUCCAAGCCUCUGAAGCCCCUCGGGUUUCAGCUGCCGGCUACCCUCGAGCCCGUGGUGCCCACGAGAGAGGCGACUUUACGUCAGCGGCCCUGGGCUGAGAUUUGAGAACGCGACCAAGUGGAGAAUGUUGGAGCCAGAUUUUAAAAUCCUUGUCUUCCUUCUGCGUGCUACUUGAUCUAAAUGAGAUACGGCAAAGUCACAGAACCUGUUUUUAUGUUUUUGCCUGAUUCAUACGGGCUUCUCCGGUGAAGAUGGGCCUGAAGUAACGCUUGGGUUGCUUCUGACGUUAUAACUCAUCCUGUAGCUGCAGCAACCGUGGUCCUUGCAACCUCAUAAAAAUGUUGCCAGCAUUGUUUCGAUAGUGCUGCUUAAUUCUUGGAAGGCCUCUUUGCUUUCUUCCCUGAGGUUCUUCGGACUUCACACAUUCCAGCAGUAGCUCUCUCAGCUCCUGUCCUGCACAGCUUUGAAGUGCUGGUGAUGUCAUUGAACUCUUAAGUGCAAGAUGAAACAAGUCUUUCUGGGGUUCUAAGUAGGACACAGGACUGGGCUGUGGCCCUUGGCGAGCCUCCCAAGCUAUUCAGUGAUGUUAGACAACCCACUUACCUUCUCUGAAAUUUACUUUUCUUAUAUGUAAAAUGCAGCUAUUGUACAGGACACAGCCCUGGUGAUGGCUUUCUGAGGAUGACACGAUGGAGGCUUCUCCAAUAGCUCUAAAACUGCGGUGUGGAAAACAUUCGGCAGCCUCAAAGAGCGGUCUUGUUGACCCCAACUAUAUCAUUUUUCAUCAAAAUCAUUCUUGUAAAGAAUGACCAGGCAACACUCUUUGAAAAUUGGAGGCCAUUUGCAGCUGCUCUCUGUUGAGGAAAGUGAAUAAUAGGGUGCCCUCAAGGAAUUGCAAAGGUAUCACUCAACAGAAACUUUCGUGUCUGAAGAAAACUAGAUCAUUUUAUCAUGGUAGGCAUGCUGAUAUGUUUGCUUUAAUAAAAUGCCAUAUUUCUGCCUUUAAUCUCUUGUCAACCCGCUAUUAAAAAGCCCCAAAGUGCAUGUGUGCAGCGCAUGUAAACACUUGUGGUUUUGAGGUUACCACAGAACAUACUAAUAAAGCAUGUAAUUUGUGUUUUGUGC
This 1274-nucleotide long non-coding RNA is filed under the name Homo sapiens (human). RNAcentral's name for it is "hepatocellular carcinoma up-regulated long non- coding RNA". Lineage: Eukaryota; Metazoa; Chordata; Mammalia; Primates; Hominidae. The record is from RNAcentral.